AAUUGUCGGCGCCCCAUAUCUUCUAUGCCCUCAUGGCGGCGCUCCACAAGGCCUGAACCACCACGAUGCUGCUGUCGUGAGCAAGAUCAGCCCCUUCUCGCCAUGUGAGUCGAUCUAUUAUUGUCGUCCGAGAAGAAUGAGAUCAGUCUCCAUGCGGGUGGAAAUUAGACGGUAUUUUUGUGGUGAUGAUGGUGGGAUGGUGAUGGUGUGGUGUGAAGACGGUAUGGUGACAAUGGAAAGACAGAUCUAGAGUUUUUGGUUGGAUCCGACUUGGCGGAGAAAGUCGCGCAUGCUAGACCCCUAAUCGACUAUGUUAAGUUUUAAUCGACUAUGCUCAGUAGUCGAUUAAGGUUUAAUCAACUAUGAUUAGUAGUCGAUUAAAGUUAAUUUUUUAAUUCAUUUUUGAGUUAAUGUGUUUUUGUUCUGUCAUUGUCAAUCCAUCAUCCAAUUUCUUUCUAUAAAUCAAUACAAUUUUUGUAUAUCUUUUGUUUUGUAAAAAAUAACUGAUUUUCAUUUUCUUUUUUGUAGUUGUUUUUGUUAUUUGUUUCGGUUGGUUAUUG
Molecule: long non-coding RNA, 560 nt
Filed under: Erythranthe guttata (spotted monkey flower)
Lineage: Eukaryota; Viridiplantae; Streptophyta; Magnoliopsida; Lamiales; Phrymaceae
Description: long non-coding RNA (EGUT_LNC003729)
Source: RNAcentral